This 403-nucleotide transfer-messenger RNA is filed under the name marine eukaryotic metagenome. It matches the Rfam family "transfer-messenger RNA". From Rfam's summary of the family: Bacterial tmRNA, also known as 10Sa RNA or SsrA, is named for its dual tRNA and mRNA-like properties. Its role is to liberate the mRNA from a stalled ribosome. The record is from RNAcentral.
GGGGCUGAACGGUUUCGACAGCAAGAUGAAAUGGAAUGUAAGCAUGCCGGGCUAUGAGGAUGUCGCCCGUUAUCUAAGAUGCUUCAAACUAUAAUUGGCGAAAAUAACUUCGCACUUGCCGCGUAAGCACUCGGUUAGAGGCUUACCGCUAAUCCACGCGUAAGACGCGGGAGCAAGUCAUCACUCAAACCCUAAGUUUGGCUGGGUUUGAUCAAGUGGUGUCAUUAAAGCCGAACUAGUUAGUAAGGAACUGUGCCUUACUUCCGAAACCUUAAACCGCAGUUAAGCUUAAGAUGGGGUGUUUGUUCCCAGCCUUAAGUCGAAAAGCCAAUAACAAACUAAGCAUGUAGAAAGCCUUUGAUUUCCUUGUUUGCACCGGGGUUCGAAUCCCCGCAGCUCCACA